This is an RNA transcript of Mus musculus (house mouse), 959 nucleotides long. It is a transcript of the gene named ferredoxin 2, with no coding region annotated. NCBI's taxonomy places the organism in Eukaryota, Metazoa, Chordata, Mammalia, Rodentia, Muridae. The record is from RefSeq and is marked validated. The transcript is spliced from 3 exons.
AGGUCUUCCGGUCACGUGGCCUAUCAUGGCCGCCUCCAUGGCCCGGGGCGUGAGCGCCCGGGUCCUGUUACGGGCGGCCGGGGGAUCUUGGGGACCCAGGGCCGGGCACGCGGCGGUAACAUCUAGGACGUUCGGGACUACAGGUACAUAGGGCUGGGCCGAGCCGCGGCGUGCAGCGAGGCCGCAGCCGCUCACCCACUCGUGUGUUUCCAGGCGAGCGGCGUGCUGGCGAGGAGGCGGCGGACAGCCCGGAGCUGCCCCGGGACGUGUGAGUGCCCCUCGUGCCACGCCCUGCCCCUCCCUGCCACUCCCUGCCUCCGGCUCAGCACCUGCACCCUGUUUGUCCCCAGGGUCAACGUGGUGUUCGUGGACCGCUCUGGCAAGCGGAUCCCGGUGAGGGGCAAAGUCGGGGACAAUGUUCUAUACCUGGCCCAGCGCCACGGGGUGGACCUGGAAGGGGCCUGCGAAGCAUCCCUGGCCUGUUCCACCUGUCAUGUGUAUGUGAGUGAGGCCCACCUGGAUCUCCUGCCUCCUCCUGAGGAGAGGGAGGACGACAUGUUGGACAUGGCUCCACUGCUCCAAGAGAACUCAAGACUGGGCUGCCAGAUUGUGCUGACCCCUGAGCUAGAGGGAGUUGAAUUUGCUCUUCCCAAGAUCACCAGGAACUUCUAUGUGGACGGCCACAUCCCCAAGCCCCACUGACAUGAGGCCACUGGACAGACCAGGCCAUGGAACUGAAAAGAAAAGCCACGCUUCCUACUCCAGAGGACGGACUGCCCAGGAAAGAGAAGUUGGACCCACAGUGUGAGACCAGAGCUGCCACUGGGGACAGCCAGUGUCUGAGCCCUGAGGGGGAUGGGUCUCCAUCUUGGGUGUGUCAGUCCACCAGGGAGAAUCGAACUAUAAAUUAAGGAUGGACUCUAACCAGAGCUGCAAUAAAAAGUCACACACAUCUCCGA